RNAcentral lists this long non-coding RNA (330 nucleotides) under Elaeis guineensis (African oil palm). RNAcentral describes it as "long non-coding RNA (EGUI_LNC026859)". Lineage: Eukaryota; Viridiplantae; Streptophyta; Magnoliopsida; Arecales; Arecaceae. The record is from RNAcentral.
CUCUGCCAAACUUUGUUAGCGGGGCUAGUGUGAGCCAAGAAUAUUUUUGGUGGUGAAUCAUUGUUCGGUCAAUUUGAAGAAAAAGGCUUGGAAAGUGACCCACGGAGAGGAGGGGGGGGGGGGAGGAUACAAGGGUCUGGUGAGAAAAACCGGUGGGGGGAAGAGAAGGUUGAAUGAUAAAAAUAGAGACCACGGGGAUCUAUUAAAGGCUACCUCACCAACUUGCAGCACAACUUGCAAAUUAACCAUCCCACGCUUUAUUUCAAAUAGAAAACGGUACGCAAGAGAAGGGAGAAAAGGAGAAAAAAAAAGGAUAAACAAGUGAAGGAC